RNAcentral lists this ribosomal RNA (2903 nucleotides) under Escherichia coli. RNAcentral describes it as "23S ribosomal RNA". It matches the Rfam family "Bacterial large subunit ribosomal RNA". The record is from RNAcentral. Lineage: Bacteria; Pseudomonadati; Pseudomonadota; Gammaproteobacteria; Enterobacterales; Enterobacteriaceae.
GGUUAAGCGACUAAGCGUACACGGUGGAUGCCCUGGCAGUCAGAGGCGAUGAAGGACGUGCUAAUCUGCGAUAAGCGUCGGUAAGGUGAUAUGAACCGUUAUAACCGGCGAUUUCCGAAUGGGGAAACCCAGUGUGUUUCGACACACUAUCAUUAACUGAAUCCAUAGGUUAAUGAGGCGAACCGGGGGAACUGAAACAUCUAAGUACCCCGAGGAAAAGAAAUCAACCGAGAUUCCCCCAGUAGCGGCGAGCGAACGGGGAGGAGCCCAGAGCCUGAAUCAGUGUGUGUGUUAGUGGAAGCGUCUGGAAAGGCGCGCGAUACAGGGUGACAGCCCCGUACACAAAAAUGCACAUAUUGUGAGCUCGAUGAGUAGGGCGGGACACGUGGUAUCCUGUCUGAAUAUGGGGGGACCAUCCUCCAAGGCUAAAUACUCCUGACUGACCGAUAGUGAACCAGUACCGUGAGGGAAAGGCGAAAAGAACCCCGGCGAGGGGAGUGAAAAAGAACCUGAAACCGUGUACGUACAAGCAGUGGGAGCCUCUUUUAUGGGGUGACUGCGUACCUUUUGUAUAAUGGGUCAGCGACUUAUAUUCUGUAGCAAGGUUAACCGAAUAGGGGAGCCGAAGGGAAACCGAGUCUUAACUGGGCGUUAAGUUGCAGGGUAUAGACCCGAAACCCGGUGAUCUAGCCAUGGGCAGGUUGAAGGUUGGGUAACACUAACUGGAGGACCGAACCGACUAAUGUUGAAAAAUUAGCGGAUGACUUGUGGCUGGGGGUGAAAGGCCAAUCAAACCGGGAGAUAGCUGGUUCUCCCCGAAAGCUAUUUAGGUAGCGCCUCGUGAAUUCAUCUCCGGGGGUAGAGCACUGUUUCGGCAAGGGGGUCAUCCCGACUUACCAACCCGAUGCAAACUGCGAAUACCGGAGAAUGUUAUCACGGGAGACACACGGCGGGUGCUAACGUCCGUCGUGAAGAGGGAAACAACCCAGACCGCCAGCUAAGGUCCCAAAGUCAUGGUUAAGUGGGAAACGAUGUGGGAAGGCCCAGACAGCCAGGAUGUUGGCUUAGAAGCAGCCAUCAUUUAAAGAAAGCGUAAUAGCUCACUGGUCGAGUCGGCCUGCGCGGAAGAUGUAACGGGGCUAAACCAUGCACCGAAGCUGCGGCAGCGACACUAUGUGUUGUUGGGUAGGGGAGCGUUCUGUAAGCCUGUGAAGGUGUGCUGUGAGGCAUGCUGGAGGUAUCAGAAGUGCGAAUGCUGACAUAAGUAACGAUAAAGCGGGUGAAAAGCCCGCUCGCCGGAAGACCAAGGGUUCCUGUCCAACGUUAAUCGGGGCAGGGUGAGUCGACCCCUAAGGCGAGGCCGAAAGGCGUAGUCGAUGGGAAACAGGUUAAUAUUCCUGUACUUGGUGUUACUGCGAAGGGGGGACGGAGAAGGCUAUGUUGGCCGGGCGACGGUUGUCCCGGUUUAAGCGUGUAGGCUGGUUUUCCAGGCAAAUCCGGAAAAUCAAGGCUGAGGCGUGAUGACGAGGCACUACGGUGCUGAAGCAACAAAUGCCCUGCUUCCAGGAAAAGCCUCUAAGCAUCAGGUAACAUCAAAUCGUACCCCAAACCGACACAGGUGGUCAGGUAGAGAAUACCAAGGCGCUUGAGAGAACUCGGGUGAAGGAACUAGGCAAAAUGGUGCCGUAACUUCGGGAGAAGGCACGCUGAUAUGUAGGUGAAGUCCCUCGCGGAUGGAGCUGAAAUCAGUCGAAGAUACCAGCUGGCUGCAACUGUUUAUUAAAAACACAGCACUGUGCAAACACGAAAGUGGACGUAUACGGUGUGACGCCUGCCCGGUGCCGGAAGGUUAAUUGAUGGGGUCAGCGCAAGCGAAGCUCUUGAUCGAAGCCCCGGUAAACGGCGGCCGUAACUAUAACGGUCCUAAGGUAGCGAAAUUCCUUGUCGGGUAAGUUCCGACCUGCACGAAUGGCGUAAUGAUGGCCAGGCUGUCUCCACCCGAGACUCAGUGAAAUUGAACUCGCUGUGAAGAUGCAGUGUACCCGCGGCAAGACGGAAAGACCCCGUGAACCUUUACUAUAGCUUGACACUGAACAUUGAGCCUUGAUGUGUAGGAUAGGUGGGAGGCUUAGAAGUGUGGACGCCAGUCUGCAUGGAGCCGACCUUGAAAUACCACCCUUUAAUGUUUGAUGUUCUAACGUGGACCCGUGAUCCGGGUUGCGGACAGUGUCUGGUGGGUAGUUUGACUGGGGCGGUCUCCUCCUAAAGAGUAACGGAGGAGCACGAAGGUUGGCUAAUCCUGGUCGGACAUCAGGAGGUUAGUGCAAUGGCAUAAGCCAGCUUGACUGCGAGCGUGACGGCGCGAGCAGGUGCGAAAGCAGGUCAUAGUGAUCCGGUGGUUCUGAAUGGAAGGGCCAUCGCUCAACGGAUAAAAGGUACUCCGGGGAUAACAGGCUGAUACCGCCCAAGAGUUCAUAUCGACGGCGGUGUUUGGCACCUCGAUGUCGGCUCAUCACAUCCUGGGGCUGAAGUAGGUCCCAAGGGUAUGGCUGUUCGCCAUUUAAAGUGGUACGCGAGCUGGGUUUAGAACGUCGUGAGACAGUUCGGUCCCUAUCUGCCGUGGGCGCUGGAGAACUGAGGGGGGCUGCUCCUAGUACGAGAGGACCGGAGUGGACGCAUCACUGGUGUUCGGGUUGUCAUGCCAAUGGCACUGCCCGGUAGCUAAAUGCGGAAGAGAUAAGUGCUGAAAGCAUCUAAGCACGAAACUUGCCCCGAGAUGAGUUCUCCCUGACCCUUUAAGGGUCCUGAAGGAACGUUGAAGACGACGACGUUGAUAGGCCAGGUGUGUAAGCGCAGCGAUGCGUUGAGCUAACCGGUACUAAUGAACCGUGAGGCUUAACCUU